RNAcentral lists this unclassified non-coding RNA (1021 nucleotides) under Hevea brasiliensis (rubber tree). Lineage: Eukaryota; Viridiplantae; Streptophyta; Magnoliopsida; Malpighiales; Euphorbiaceae. The record is from RNAcentral.
UUUUUUUUUUUUUUCACACUAGAGAAAGUACUCCACCAGUCCACUAUCCCGCAUUGCCUAAAACUGACCUGCCUUGCAUUUAUAUAAGAAAUACUUGCAAUAUUCUCGCAGAAGAUUGAAAACUUUCAAAACAUAGCAUAACACAACAUAUCUAGUACAAAGUUCAUAAAAUACUGAAUCGACCAAGCUGAUAUGUGGUAAGCAGGAUUUUUAUUGAGUGGUCCAUUCUGGGUCUUCUAAUGGUCCAUCUUCCAUGAACCUCUGACCUGAGAAUUGAAUUAAUCUGUUUGGUGUUUCAAACAAUGAAAUCAUCAUCUCCAAACCCUACCAACCCUAACUGGAAUUAGCUUAUCUCAAGCUUUAACCUGAAAAUCCAACUGAUCUCUUUGAUUCUUGGAAUUAACACCAGACCUACCUUAAAGAAACAAAAGUGUAAAUGUGAAACACUUAACCACACUAGAGAACGUGGAAAUUUGUCACAGGUCCAUCCUGUCUUGUGACUGCAUUGCUUGGGAUUCUGAUUCAGCCUGGCAGCCCCUGCAUUGUCAUCUUAGAAAAUUACAUGUUGUUUGUGCAUUUGGAAUUGUAUGCACCUCUAGAAAAGAGAGUGCUUUAAAUUAAGCCCAUUUAUUCAAGGCCUUUGAAUAAAACCUGAUCCUGGUGUAUUUAAGUGCACGGUGAAGCUGUAUGCUCGUUCAUUGUUUUCUGAGAUCUAGGAUCCAAUACACUUGACCUCAUUGCAAUGAGUUCAGGAAUUCUCAAACUUAAAUUCUAAAUCAUUGAUGAAGAGCUUGUCUUUGUUCCAUUUAAUCAGUGAUUAAGUCUUGAAGAGUUUCUUUAUGGAUAAAACUAAAGUUACAAACAUUUUAUUGAUUUGCUUCACAAUCCCUAGUUUUGAAUUUUGUUCUUCUAGCAUUCACCCUCAUUUAAGAUUUUUGUAUGAUUAAAUAUUUUAAGUUGUCAAAUAUUCCAUACCUUAUUCUUUUAAAAUUUUUUUAGGUAAAUGCUGCCAUCAUAAAGA